AGCGCUCUUAAUUUAGCUCGGUAGAAUAUGGGUCUUUAAAACCCAAUUUCGUAGGUUCAAAUCCUACAGAGCGCGAG
This 77-nucleotide transfer RNA is filed under the name Helianthus annuus (common sunflower). RNAcentral's name for it is "tRNA-Sup". It matches the Rfam family "tRNA". From Rfam's summary of the family: Transfer RNA (tRNA) molecules are approximately 80 nucleotides in length. Their secondary structure includes four short double-helical elements and three loops (D, anti-codon, and T loops). Lineage: Eukaryota; Viridiplantae; Streptophyta; Magnoliopsida; Asterales; Asteraceae. The record is from RNAcentral.